Chloebia gouldiae (Gouldian finch) is the source of this 556-nucleotide long non-coding RNA. The record is from Ensembl. NCBI's taxonomy places the organism in Eukaryota, Metazoa, Chordata, Aves, Passeriformes, Passeridae.
CGGCUGCCUCCCCGGCGUGUGAGCCACGAGCAGGAACGGGGCAUUCACUGGCCACGGAGAUCAGGAGGAGCGACGGGCUCCGCAUCACAACUAUUUGUUGUCCCACGUCUCCUCUGCAGACUUCUCGUGCCUGUUUUGUCCCAAAUACCGUGGAUAUGGGAAUACAGCUCACAUUGUCUCCGUCUCUUCAGUGACUGCCAGGCUAGCAUGCACCACUUGCUUCUGCGAACUAGUAAGUUCGGCGCUGAGGGAGAAGCCCAGCGCCUCCUGCCCGCGUGGGAAGGGCGCGGGGAGGAAGAGCCGCAGUGCCGGGGCGGUGAAAGCCCCGUCACCAUCUCCCACCUGGACACCCCGCGGGGGCCGCCCCAUCGAAAAGCAAAAAGCGCUUCCUGCCAAAAGCACGUCUCCUGGGAGGGGUUGGAAGAUACUGGGAAUGAAGGAAAAGCAGCUGGUAAAGACAAGUUCUCAACUGUGCACUAAAUCCUACGGACUUCAUCAGAAUACCUCAGACCCAUCUGGUUGGAGCAAUUUGUUAAAUCCUUGGCGAUUGCACUAA